This 641-nucleotide ribosomal RNA is filed under the name Streptomyces sp. CACIS-1.16CA. RNAcentral's name for it is "bacterial SSU rRNA". It matches the Rfam family "Bacterial small subunit ribosomal RNA", at positions 36 to 692 of the family's 1533-position model. The record is from RNAcentral. Lineage: Bacteria; Bacillati; Actinomycetota; Actinomycetes; Kitasatosporales; Streptomycetaceae.
CUGGCGGCGUGCUUAACACAUGCAAGUCGAACGAUGAAGCCACUUCGGUGGUGGAUUAGUGGCGAACGGGUGAGUAACACGUGGGCAAUCUGCCCUUCACUCUGGGACAAGCCCUGGAAACGGGGUCUAAUACCGGAUAACACUCUGUCCCGCAUGGGACGGGGUUGAAAGCUCCGGCGGUGAAGGAUGAGCCCGCGGCCUAUCAGCUUGUUGGUGGGGUAAUGGCCUACCAAGGCGACGACGGGUAGCCGGCCUGAGAGGGCGACCGGCCACACUGGGACUGAGACACGGCCCAGACUCCUACGGGAGGCAGCAGUGGGGAAUAUUGCACAAUGGGCGAAAGCCUGAUGCAGCGACGCCGCGUGAGGGAUGACGGCCUUCGGGUUGUAAACCUCUUUCAGCAGGGAAGAAGCGAAAGUGACGGUACCUGCAGAAGAAGCGCCGGCUAACUACGUGCCAGCAGCCGCGGUAAUACGUAGGGCGCAAGCGUUGUCCGGAAUUAUUGGGCGUAAAGAGCUCGUAGGCGGCUUGUCACGUCGGAUGUGAAAGCCCGGGGCUUAACCCCGGGUCUGCAUUCGAUACGGGCUAGCUAGAGUGUGGUAGGGGAGAUCGGAAUUCCUGGUGUAGCGGUGAAAUGCGCA